Molecule: long non-coding RNA, 5532 nt
Filed under: Sus scrofa (pig)
Lineage: Eukaryota; Metazoa; Chordata; Mammalia; Artiodactyla; Suidae
Description: lncRNA (ENSSSCG00055010358.1)
Source: RNAcentral
AGGCUCGAUCUGAAAAAAGACAAUUCAUCCCCGAGGAAAAGAUGCAAGGAGUACAGUAUUUGAGUGAAUUUUCAUGAAAACCAGUGCACUCUAAAGCAACACUAAAAAAAAGAAAAUCUUGGCUAAGUAUUCAUUAUAUGGAAAAGAGCUCUAAGGGAACCAAACAGAGACCAAAAAAAAAGGAAAAUUUGAAGGAUUAUCCCUUUGUAAAAGUUGGGCAGAAGGGGCAACCUUCCUUUUGUGGAACCGUGUAAUUAACACACAACAUUCACCUCACAUCAUUAAUGCCUUGUGCUAGCUGCCACUUAGCCAGAGGGUCAUGCCAAGUGAGUGCCUCCAUAGAAAGAACACUCAGUGAUUGUACGGCAUACAAGGAUUAUUCAAUUUGAUAGUUAAAAAAAAAUUCUCUCCACAAUGAAAAAGAAACCGCUACCCUGAAUGGAUAAGCUCGGGACUGCGAUAUGGUGAUUUUAAUUCUUGAUGAUAUGGAAAGAGGAUUUGUUCACAGCAACGAUUUAUGCUUGUCCUGCCCCUCCCCCCAUACUAUAUGCUGACUCAUCAUUAGAAUACCUGGUUGCAAGUCAGAGUUGUACUAGGUGGUUUUUGUGUGACUUUUACCAGGUUGCUCCUCUUCUGUUGUAGUUUAUUUAUAUCUGAAGAGAGGGAAUUCAGAUUGCACAGAAGUUUUAAAAGAAAUACCACUAAUGUCUGAUAGACAUGGUUCCACUCACUCUUUCCAUGCCCAUGGCAGAAACUAAUGUUCAAAUACGGCAUUUUAUACUGACUCCAGACGAGGUUUCCCAGAAUCUUUCAUGCUUCUACAGCCUCUAUCAAGGUUGGAGUGUGAAAGACAAAUUGACCCCUUGGUAGGUCUCCUUUAUAGGUAAAGAUUCAUAUCACAUCCACAAUUAGGAAAACAAAGAGGAACAAACACACAAAAACCCAGCAAUGAAAAUUUCCAUGCUGAGACAAAGCAAAUGAAGAGUCAUUGUUUUUAAUUUCAGUCACAAAAUAAAUGAAAAUAUAUGUUCUCCUCAGUUACUGACUUUCUCACAAAAGCAUCUUUAUCCCUCAUGUUUAUAAUGCUACUACUGGAGACUAUGUCCGGAUCUUCUUGGGGGUGAUAAUUCUGUGUGUGAACAACACUUUUUUUUCCCCUGCCAUGUACAGACUAACUGUAAAUUUGAUAAUCUGGUAAUUUCACAGAUUAAAAGUUUUUAAUUUAAUGAGCCAUUUUUUUUAAAACUGCCUCCCUUAUAAACCAUCUUUGUGAGUAAAUGACUUUUCUUACCUAAAUGUUUUUGCCUCUGUAUCUUCCUUCUAUUGGAGUUAAAACAUGAAAUGAUAUCUGGCUGUUAUAUUUGGACAAGAAUGAUCUGGAAGAUCAUUUUCUAUUCAAAAAAUCUAAGAUCAAUGCCCCUUAUCUGGUGAGGAAAUAGGAUGAUCCAGGUUUCCCUCCCCUGUCUUCCAGCUCAUCCAUCUCACUGCUAAUAGGCACUGGGUCCAAGAGAAACAAAGUUUUACUGAUAGAAUUUUAAAAAUUUGGGUUUCAUAAAUUAUAGUUUUAUUGAAUCAAUAUUUAUAAUGGAAACCUGAGCUUCAUAGCAACACAGUCACAGCUGUAGCUAAUAGCUAAAGCAUUUUGGAAAAAUACACUCUAUAUUCAGAAGUGAUAUACUCUAAUAUAUUCAUAAAAACUAAAGCAAAUUAUAUGGUAGUUUUUUAAAACUUCCUUUUAUUAUUUAAACAAAUGCUAGGCAAGAUUAUCUUUUGCAACACAAUGUAACAUUGCUUCUCUUCACGAUGCUAGCUCAAAUUAAAUAUUAUAUUCAUGGAAUCUUAUUUGAAUCAUUAAUUGCAUGUUCACAUGAAAAAUCCUUUAUGAAUGCAUGACAAUUUCUUUGUUGAAUAUGGGAGUAAAAUAUUUACACUUUUGUUUAUUUUGAAUGUUUAAAAAGGAGGAUUCCUAGGGCUUAAGAUACAAAUUUGUCUUAAGGAUUUUAACCUGGCAAAGCCAAUCUGAAGAGGAAGAGCUGGAGAAACCUAUUUUAAAUUGUAAAUGAAAAACUCAUGCAUGCAAGGUAUGGAUUAUUUAAUUCUUUCACGUAUUCUGAGAAGUGAGGAUGCCAAACAAGAAUGGCUGGAGUUUAAUGGAGUGUCUUAUAUGAAAUCUAGAAAAUAUGCAAUGGGGUCACUUCUAGAUGAGCAAAACCAAUAGUAUUGUGUUGCCUGUGCCUUUUGUCCUUAAUGUGAGUUGAGAGUGGGGCAGCCCUAACAGAAACCAUUCUUCCAAUUUGCUAUAGAAGCAAAAUAGUUUGGACAGCAAGGGUUGGGGAUCAUCAGGGUCUUACAGUUAUCAUCCAUUGUUGAACCUGAAACAAGAAAGCUCAUGGACCUCUCUAAUGACGAUAUGGAGAAUGAUUUCUGGCAUGGGUCAAAAAGUGGGGGAAUAUCUGAUGGAAAGAGAAAUCAUUACACUAAGUCAGAGUUAGAAUUCAACCUUGGGAUGGAAGGGAAGACAAUUUCCCAUGGAAUCUGGCUGAGGCAAUGGGUACUCAAUGAUAUCCAAGAUUUUUUUUCAAAAUAAAGUUCCUGACUUUCUCCCUACAGGUCAUCUCAUACCACAAUGAUCCAGGAUUCUGGCUUCUUUUGGGAAACUUCCCAGGUAGUUUAACAGAAUGUAGGCUGAAUGUGAAGUGAGCAAAGCAGAGGUACAUUCUGUCAACAUGUCAUCUAGCAAACAGAAAGUGAGACAGCUUUUGAUAUAAAAUUGUGGGAAUUUCUAGAGAAGCAAACUCUAGCCUGAGACUCUGGGAAUGAUUUUCUGAAUAUUACAGAACUGACCCAUUAAAGUACCAGCUAUCUCCAAAAUCACUGUGGAAAUACUAUAACAGGACUACAGUAACGAUUUGAUUACCAGCCCGAAGAUGAAGCUAGUACACAAGAAAUGUUCCUACCCCACUCUUCUCUCUCCAAGAAUCACAAGGGAAUGAAGACAAAACCGUGAAAUUAAGUAAAUCCUAAAACCUACCUGAACCGUGGAUUUCCAGCGUUCAUUAUAGCAUUUAGAAGACGGAGUUUCCUAUAAAAUUAUUAUCAUCUAGGAGGCGGAGCAAGAUGGUCGAGGAGUAAGAGGUCACGCACAUCUUCUCUCACAAACACAUCAAAAAAACACAUCUACAUGUAAAACUACUCACACAGAACAUCAAUUGAAUGCUGGCAGAAGAACUUAAACCUCCAAAAAGGGCAAGAAACUCUUGACAAAACUGGGUAGAACAAAAGAAAAAAAGAGAAAAGGAAUCAGGAUGGGACUAGCAUUCCUGAGAGGGAGCUGUGAAGGAGAAAAGGAACUCAUCUCCUGGGAAGCCACCUAACUGACAAAAGAUCGGCUGAGUCAGUGGGACCUCAACGUCACAAGGAAAAAAUAAAGCAGCUGAACUGAGAACAGCAAAGCAGAGUGAGAGCCACACAGAUAAUCUAAACCACAGGCUUGGACACCAGAGCCUGAGAUGCUUGGGUGGGGACUGGGCACUGAGACUCAGGCUCCAGAGGUCAGUCCCAGGGAGAGAACUGGGGAUGGCAUGAGGAGUUAAGGAGCAGUUCACCAUGGGCUAAGGAGGGGAACACCACAGCAGAGGGAACCCAGGAGAAGGUCCAGACCUGCAGGAGAGGCAAGACACCACAGUUGGAGAGGGGAGAGGAGGAGGGGCAGGCCACCAUAGGACACUCCCUGAGCUGGAACUUGCACAUGCCUGUGGGCUUAUAGGGCAGGGCAGCUUUGUGGAGGAUAUGGGCCUGAGAGAAGCCUCUCGCUCGUUUAGGGCAGAUUAGGCACUACUUGUGCAGGCUACCAGCGACCAUGAACCUAUUGCAUGGGCUAAGGGCAUAAUGGGGCUAAGUGCAAUGUGGUGCCUCUUGCACAAUCUACAGGUGGCAGGGACAGACUGCAGCGGUCAUCUCAGAGGCCAGAGAGAGGCAUGGCUUGCCACCACUGGGGGCCUGUGAGUGGGCUCCACCAGCGACACCAGUCACCUCAGGGGUUGGCAAAAAAGAAAAAAAAGAGGGCACUGCAACCAAGCACCAUACACAGUUUUUUGCUAUCACUCCCCUGGGAACACACCCAUCCUGCAGCUGCCAUGGCCAAAUGCUCUGGGCAGUGGCCAGACACUUGGUGACUGUCACUUCCCAAGACCCUACAACUAGGAGCAACUGGUGCAGCACCUCCUACAUGGGCUAAAUGGAACAGGGUGCUUCUUACAGGGUCUGCAGGCAGCAGGGGUAAAGCUUGAUUCCAGGGGUAGACGUGGCCCACUCCCAUUGGAGAUACCUGAACAAAAAUCACUUGCAGCCCCAUUUACCUAAAGGGCACCACAAAGGAGGGCAUUGUGACUGAACACCACCCCUCUGUGCUCUCACAUACCCAGGAACACACCUACCCUACUGCUACCACCACUGCCAGAUGUUCCGGGCAGUACCCACACAACCUGAUCUCUCUCACUUCCCAGGAUCCUGCAACUAGGAGCACCCUGUACAGCACCUCAUAUGUUGGCUAAGUGAGAUGGGUGGCUUCAUGCGUGGUCUACAGGUGGUGGGCGCAAUCCACCGCAGUUAUCACUGACUCUAAAGAUGGUCAUGGCCUUUCUCCCAAGAGGGGUCCCUGAACAGGCACCACCUGUGGUUCCAAUCUCCUCAGAGGAGGGCACUGCAAUCAAACACAAGCAAUUAUUGCUCUCCCUCCCCUGGGAACUCACUCACCUGGCUGUUGCUACGGCCAAAUGCUCUGGUGACCUUGAAGAUCUGCCUAGAGCUUAUGACCACUUCCCAGGGCCCUGCAGCUAGGAGUAGCCUGUGCCACCUUCCUGCAGGUGCUAGCUGCCGCUGAGAACCCAAGAACCAGGCACUGACUGCUGGCCCUACCCACUGGCUCCUUCUCCCUGAAAAAUAAAAGCCUGCUCACACCAAAGAAAGAAACAGCAAAUAUUCAAAUUCCCACACCAAAAAUAAAUAGGAAACCCCCCCAAAAUGCAAAAGGUAUUCUUGCAUAGAAGUAGCUUUAUAAGACUGCAGUUUGGCUUCCCUGACUCACAAAGAAAAACAUAAGCAAGAUGAAGAAGCACAGAAACCAUUCCCUGUUAAAGGGACAGGAGAAUUCACCUAAAGCAGACAACAAUGAAACAGACCUCUGCAGUCUGACAGACAUUGAGUUCAAAAGGGAGGUAUUGACAAUACUGAAGGAAUUAAGAGAGGAUAUGAACAGUAAUGCAGAUUCCUUUAGAAAGGAACUUGAAAAUAUAAGGAGGAGCCAAGAAAAGCUAGAAAAUUCAUUUGCAGAGAUACAAACUGAGCUAAAGGCAAUAAAGAGCAGAAGGAAUAAUGCAGAGGAAUGAAAUAGUGAUGUGGAAGAUAAAAUAAUGGAAAUCACCCAAUCAGGACAGCAGACAGAAAACCAAAUGAAAAAACAUGAAAGCAAGAUAAAACACCUAUGGGAUAAUACAAAGUGUGCCAACCUAUGCAUAAUGGGAAUUCCAGAAG